UGCGUAGGUGGUUAUUUAAGUCAGAUGUGAAAUCCCUAGGCUUAACCUAGGAAUGGCGUUUGAUACUGGAUAGCUAGAGUGCAGUAGAGGGAAGUGGAAUUUCCGGUGUAGCGGUGAAAUGCGUAGAUAUCGGAAGGAACAUCAGUGGCGAAGGCGACUUCCUGGACUGUUACUGACACUGAGGCACGAAAGCGUGGGGAGCAAACA
Molecule: ribosomal RNA, 207 nt
Filed under: uncultured bacterium
Lineage: Bacteria
Description: partial 16S ribosomal RNA
Rfam family: Bacterial small subunit ribosomal RNA
Source: RNAcentral